UACGUAGGUGGCGAGCGUUGUCCGGAUUUACUGGGCGUAAAGGGAGCGUAUGUGGACUUUUAAGUGAGAUGUGAAAUACCCGGGCUCAACUUGGGUGCUGCAUUUCAAACUGGAAGUCUAGAGUGCAGGAGAGGAGAAUGGAAUUCCUAGUGUAGCGGUGAAAUGCGUAGAGAUUAGGAAGAACACCAGUGGCGAAGGCGAUUCUCUGGACUGUAACUGACGCUGAGGCUCGAAAGCGUGGGGAGCAAACAGGAUUAGAUA
Molecule: ribosomal RNA, 261 nt
Filed under: uncultured prokaryote
Description: partial 16S ribosomal RNA
Rfam family: Bacterial small subunit ribosomal RNA
Source: RNAcentral